Aspergillus tanneri is the source of this 122-nucleotide non-coding RNA. NCBI's taxonomy places the organism in Eukaryota, Fungi, Ascomycota, Eurotiomycetes, Eurotiales, Aspergillaceae. The record is from the annotation of a RefSeq genome assembly.
GUCAGUGUGGCCGAGUGGUUAAGGCGAUUGACUUGAAUAUGACUGUCUUUGUCUAUGCACAAUAGACAACUUUCAGGUAUCAAUUGGGUUCGCCCGCGCAGGUUCGAAUCCUACCGCUGACG